Molecule: ribosomal RNA, 717 nt
Filed under: uncultured Acinetobacter sp.
Lineage: Bacteria; Pseudomonadati; Pseudomonadota; Gammaproteobacteria; Moraxellales; Moraxellaceae
Description: bacterial SSU rRNA
Rfam family: Bacterial small subunit ribosomal RNA
Source: RNAcentral
AUGCAAGUCGAGCGGGGAAGGGUAGCUUGCUACCUGACCUAGCGGCGGACGGGUGAGUAAUACUUAGGAAUCUGCCUAUUAGUGGGGGACAACGUUUCGAAAGGGACGCUAAUACCGCAUACGCCCUACGGGGGAAAGCAGGGGAUCACUUGUGACCUUGCGCUAAUAGAUGAGCCUAAGUCGGAUUAGCUAGUUGGUGGGGUAAAGGCCUACCAAGGCGACGAUCUGUAGCGGGUCUGAGAGGAUGAUCCGCCACACUGGGACUGAGACACGGCCCAGACUCCUACGGGAGGCAGCAGUGGGGAAUAUUGGACAAUGGGGGGAACCCUGAUCCAGCCAUGCCGCGUGUGUGAAGAAGGCCUUAUGGUUGUAAAGCACUUUAAGCGAGGAGGAGGCUCCUAUAGAUAAUACCUAUAGUGAGUGGACGUUACUCGCAGAAUAAGCACCGGCUAACUCUGUGCCAGCAGCCGCGGUAAUACAGAGGGUGCAAGCGUUAAUCGGAUUUACUGGGCGUAAAGCGUACGUAGGCGGCUAAUUAAGUCGGAUGUGAAAUCCCCGAGCUCAACUUGGGAAUUGCAUUCGAUACUGGUUAGCUAGAGUAUGGGAGAGGAUGGUAGAAUUCCAGGUGUAGCGGUGAAAUGCGUAGAGAUCUGGAGGAAUACCGAUGGCGAAGGCAGCCAUCUGGCCUAAUACUGACGCUGAGGUACGAAAGCAUGG